UGACCUCAAAUCAGGUAGGACUACCCGCUGAACUUAAGCAUAUCAAUAAGCGGAGGAAAAGAAACUAACAAGGAUUCCCCUAGUAACUGCGAGUGAAGCGGGAAAAGCUCAAAUUUGAAAUCUGGCAGCUCUUUGAACUGUCCGAGUUGUAAUCUAGAGAAGUGUUACCUGUGUUGGACCGUGUACAAGUCUCCUGGAAUGGAGCGUCACAGAGGGUGAGAAUCCCGUCUUUGACACGGACUGCCUGCACGUUAUGGUGCGCUCUCAAAGAGUCGAGUUGUUUGGGAAUGCAGCUCAAAAUGGGUGGUAAAUGCCAUCUAAAGCUAAAUAUUGGCGAGAGACCGAUAGCGAACAAGUACCGUGAGGGAAAGAUGAAAAGAACUUUGGAAAGAGAGUUAAACAGUACGUGAAAUUGCUGAAAGGGAAACGCUUGAAGUCAGUCGCGUCGGCUAGAAAUCAACCUUGCUUUUGCUUGGUGUACUUUCUUGUUGACGGGUCAGCAUCAAUUUUGACCGUCGGAUAAAGUCAUUGGGAAUGUGGCAUCUUAGGAUGUGUUAUAGCCCAUUGUCGCAUACGACGGUUGGGAUUGAGGAACUCAGCACGCCCGCAAGGGACGGGUUUUUUGACCACGUUCGUGCUUAGGA
This 644-nucleotide ribosomal RNA is filed under the name Inocybe whitei. Its description in RNAcentral is "eukaryotic LSU rRNA". It matches the Rfam family "Eukaryotic large subunit ribosomal RNA", at positions 1 to 623 of the family's 3401-position model. The record is from RNAcentral. Lineage: Eukaryota; Fungi; Basidiomycota; Agaricomycetes; Agaricales; Inocybaceae.